CAAGAAGAAGGUUUAGAAAGACAAGACAGGAGAGGAAGAAGAGACGUUACAUUUAAAGCAAUUUCUCACCUGAGGUUCAUCAUCCUGUUUACCAGCCACUUCUGAAGGCAGUUGCUUGGAGCCCUUUGUCGCUGGACUACUGUGUAACAUUCAUUUUCCGUGCCCCGCCUUGAGACCCUGUUCGUGAGUGUGGCAGUUGCAGUGAGC
This is a non-coding RNA of Maylandia zebra (zebra mbuna), 207 nucleotides long. The record is from RefSeq and is a predicted model, not a curated record. Lineage: Eukaryota; Metazoa; Chordata; Actinopteri; Cichliformes; Cichlidae.